GACGAACGCUGGCGGCGUGCUUAACACAUGCAAGUCGAGCGGUAAGGCCCUUUCGGGGGUACGACGAGCGGCGAACGGGUGAGUAACACGUGGGUGACCUGCCCUUAGCUCUGGGAUAAGCCUGGGAGACUGGGUCUAAUACCGGAUAUGACUCCAUGACGCAUGUUGUGGGGUGGAAAGCCUUGUGCGGCUAGGGAUGGGCCCGCGGCCUAUCAGCUUGUUGGUGGGGUGAGGCCUACCAAGGCGACGACGGGUAGCCGGCCUGAGAGGGCGACCGGCCACACUGGGACUGAGACACGGCCCAGACUCCUACGGGAGGCAGCAGUGGGGAAUCUUGCGCAAUGGGCGAAAGCCUGACGCAGCGACGCCGCGUGGGGAU
Molecule: ribosomal RNA, 379 nt
Filed under: uncultured bacterium
Lineage: Bacteria
Description: bacterial SSU rRNA
Rfam family: Bacterial small subunit ribosomal RNA
Source: RNAcentral